RNAcentral lists this ribosomal RNA (106 nucleotides) under Bacteroides thetaiotaomicron. The record is from RNAcentral. Lineage: Bacteria; Pseudomonadati; Bacteroidota; Bacteroidia; Bacteroidales; Bacteroidaceae.
AGGUGGUUAUAGCACGAGGGUUCCACCUCUUCCCAUUCCGAACAGAGAAGUUAAGCCUCGUCACGCCGAUGGUACUGCGUAACAGUGGGAGAGUAGGUAGCCGCCA